This 611-nucleotide long non-coding RNA is filed under the name Cricetulus griseus (Chinese hamster). RNAcentral's name for it is "lncRNA (ENSCGRG00000025480.1)". Lineage: Eukaryota; Metazoa; Chordata; Mammalia; Rodentia; Cricetidae. The record is from RNAcentral.
GAGAAAUUCAACAGCCCUGAUGCUCUUUCAUCUGUUUUGAGACUGAAGAGAGGAUGUGUGAGACGGCACAAUUGUUGAAUGGCCAUCCUGCCUUUCAAUCCUGUCCUAACAUUUCAAAGAGAUUUUAGAAUUGGACAGAGAGGAUCGUAUGACUAUGAGAGGGACUCAGACACCUGAGACAUACAUUAACAAACUCAGAUUAGUUAGCAUCUGAGACCAGAGAAGAAUGCAAGGCUGUUUUCCACCUUCUUCAGAGGAGCAAGAUGUUUGCUUCCAACAGGACUGGAUGCCCAGAGUCUCUAGGCCUUGAACGGACAUUCCAGGAUGGAAGAAUAUGACAGCAGGAAAGAAGAGAGAUUGUGUAUCGUCAGAUGAGAUAAAAGCUCUAUGAACUGUGAGGAACAUGGAGCCACAAGAUGGAAGUAUGAAGGAAUGUCACAGAACACUGGACAUUUAUCCAUCCCCAAAGUGAGGUUCACUCCUGCCUGCAACAAGACCAAACCUCCAGGGGUCCUUCCAUAUAUACAGCUCCUACACCAGCUCCAAGGACACCAACCAGGGAUGCCAAGCAGGAUGGAUAGAGGCAUUUCCCACCCCCAGAGAAACAGCAG